CAGCAACAGGCCAGAUGAAGCCUCUCCAGACAAGCCUGUUAGCCAAUGGAACAUCAAUGAUGAUCUCCUUCAUUGUUGGCUUCUUCUCAUCUCUUAUUGCAAUCAAGUAGCUCCUUCCUACCCACCCAAUCCAUCCAGCAAUGUACAAGAAGAGGAUCCCAGGAGUGAUGAACUCACCCCAAUGCCUCUGGUCUCCACUCACUAUCAGGUGUGGCAGUCCAUCCGAUCCACACAAUAGUCCCUGUUUCGCGUAGUUGUCAAAUCUGCAAUGACAAUAGUUGAGUGAAUUUGUGUAAGUGAAAUAAAACUAGUUAUGUGACUUCUCCGUUACAAAAUAAAGUUGAGUGACUUUAUCAAGAUAAUUUCCGUUAGUUGAGUAAUUUCAAAGGAGUUUUGUCCUUCACUGGUGAGGGACAGCGAGACAGUUGUGCUUAUAUACAGAAGCACUUCUUCUAGCUCUUAAAGAAUUGAGAAGAGAGUCUUCCCGGCGCCAUCGUUGUCCCUCAGCUGGCUUGGGCUUGAAUUUGAAUUUAUGAUGUGAUUGACUGAUAUAUUUUUGGAUCAAAUUUAUUUAGUUAAUAUUUAUAUUUCAGUAACAUUUUUGUAAUUAAUUCCCAUGUUAUUGUUUUGUCGUAGCCAUAUUUUUCGUAAACAACCAUUUUCGCAAAGAACCACCAGGAAGAGUUGCAUCUCUUCGUUUGAGACUAGACUUCUGCUUAUAUAUAUCUGUCCUUUAAUUCAGAUUUUUACUUACGAUUUUUUUUUUAAAUAUUUCUCGCAUAUUACUUUCUGCUCUGCGAAGUAAAUUUGAAGUGUGAUUCAACUGUUCUUAAUGUUCGUUGAACACCGGUGUUUGAAGUAUCUUUGCACAAGUGACAGUAAUCUGCCCUAUCUUGGGAGGAAAUAAUCUUAUACCUCAGGUAUUAGGAACACUAUGAAUUUCAGGAGGCUCGAAUUAGUUUCAGCUUUCAUCUCAUGUAUAUUUUGUCAAGUCUUAGUUUCCAGGAUUUAUUUGGUUACUAACAGUAUUUGUGUUACUAAACAAAAUUCGAAUGAUCAUAUGCGAAAUUAACUCUAUGAUAAGGAAUUACAUAGAUGGAUUAAAUAAAAAAUGAUUACUAGGGGAAAAUGGAAGGUGAGACAAACCUGCGCUUAGUUUUCUCAAUAGUAGCAUUAAUAGCAAGUGCAGGAGCACUAUCAGGUGCAUAUAGCUUCAAAGAAUUCUCAAGCUUCUUGAUCUGUUGCUUCUCCCUCUUAGCAAACUGCUUUGACUCCUUGCAAGGUGUGAGUCCAGAGAUGUCAGCAGAAGCUGGAAGCACUGGUGCUGACAACAGAAUUGAAGACAAAGCAAGUGCUGCUGAGAAUACCUUUAAUGAGGAAGAUGUUUCAUCUGUUUUAGUAGAAGCAGGAGUUUGGUUUGAAGAGCAGACUAUUGUUGAAGUUCUUGGUUUUGUGGUAAACUGAGAACUAAACUUAGAUGAUGUUGAAAUGGGUUUUGAAAGGUUUGCAGGAAUUGUGAGAGACAUGGUGUUUUCUCCUCUCUCUUUUUAUGGUAUUAUUUUCAAGAAAAAAAGAGAGGAAGGAGGAGUGGAUUGGAGUGUGGAGAGUGAAAGGAUGUUUUUUUAGGAUAUUUGGAAGAAAGGAUUGGUAUUGAAGAGAGAGGAUAAAGGAGUUGAAGGGGAGCUUAGGUGGAGGGAUUUGAUUGGCUAAUUGAGUUGGAUUUUGUGAGAUUGGUGGAUUUUGCUGAAACUUUAUCUAUCUGUGAAAGAGCAAGAACCAGGGAUGUAACAGAUACAGAUACGCCUCCUUCGGAGCCAUAUUAUCCCUUGGAAUAGCUAGUAAGUUGCUGCCCACGUAAUCAGGAGGUCAUAAGUUCAAGUUUUGAAAACAGUUUCUAAUAAAAAUACAAGGUACGACUGCAUACGAUACACCCUUGUGGUGGGGCCCUUCCCUGGAUACCGCGCAUAGUGGUAAUUUUAGUACACUGGACUGUCCUUUAUUGGCAAAAUGGCUAAAUGGAUCCUUGUACUAUGUUCGUUUUGUAAUGUGAACACUUCUACUUACAUGUUUGUCAUCUGAAUCGUUGAAUUAAUUAAAAAGUAAUAUUUUAAGCCCUUUAUCGGUCUACUCCUUUGAACGUGUUGCACAAUCACGAACAUGUCAUCAAAUAUUUGAAAAUAAUUUUCACAUAUGAAAUAACGUGUCCAAGGUAUAAAUAGAAAAGUAAGUCCGAAAAAUUAAGUCAUUUUAGACCCUUCUUCUUCGUCUCUUUCAUCCAAAGUUUAAAAUUUCCCCUAUUUUAACUUAAUUUAGGUAGAUUGUUGUUGGUGGUUGUUGCAAUCCGUGUAAGUAUUUAAUAUUUUGUGGUAACUGUAGUAUUUCGUAGUUUAUUUCAGGCUCUUUUGUCGAUGUAAUGAAGUCCGUUUUAGUAAUUUUAGGAUUUUCGCCAUUAUGAACUUUUUUUUCAAUUUUUUGGGUGGUUUUGCUCUAUUUUAUAUCUAGUGUUGUUGUAGGUAGUAUGUGUAGUGGUGAUAUGCCUUCAAUGACAUAUUUUGAAAUUUUGAUCAAAAUUUAGAGUUUUUUCGUAAAAUGGUAAUUGGGUUCGAAAAUUUUUGAGCUUUUAAUUUUUUUUUUGUUGUCUAAUGCUCCUAUUAUACCUAUAUAUUACAGUUUUGUGCCUUCAAUGGUGUAUUUUAUUAUUUCGAUUACAUUUUAAAUUUUUUUUGGUAAAUUUAAAAUUAGGUUCGAAAAUUUUGGGGCUUGUGAAUUUUUUGUUGUUUAAUGCUCCAAUUAGAUGUGUGUAUAACAGUUUUGUACCUUCAAUAGCAUGUUUUGUUAUUUCGAUUACAUUUUAAAGUUUUUUUUUUUUGAUAAAAUCAGAAUUGGGUUUCUUAUUCCUUUAUUUUUUCUUUAAAAAUUAGGUCUUUAUGGAUAAUUAACUAAUUAUAUAUAUUAUCUUGUCAUUGUACAGAUUUUCUAAGUAAAUGGACACAAUUGUAACAAUUCAAUUCACCUAUAGGGGGGUCUUUUUGUCAGACCCUGAUCUAAGGUAUGCAAAUGAAGUUUGUAUUCUUGAAAAAAUUAGAGUAGAUGUAGAUGAGCUUCAUAUUAUGUUAUUUCAUAACUUAGCAAUAGAUUUAGAUAUGGAAAAAAAUAAAACUUUUUGAUGUAGAGUAAAUAAAAAGGGUUAUUAUUAUAUGUUAGAUAGUGAUGCUGAUGUUUUAAGAUUUAUCAAUAGUUUAAAAGUUGGAGAUUUUGUUAAUAUAUAUGUUGUUCACCAUAUUAGUGAACUUAUAGUUGUUAAUGAAGAUGUGACAGCUACUCCAUCAUUAUUACUACUUAGCAAUAGUAAUGUGGCAGCCCCUUUUAAAACUGAUAAGGUUGUGUGUCUUCAUCUCAUCCGUUGAAUAUAAAUGAAGAUGAGUAUAUAAAUGAAAAUCAGCCUCCUAAGGCAGACAAAGGAAAAGCUAAGGUUUCUUUAGAAGACUUAGGGGAAAGUCAAGUUAAUGAUUUCUCCACAUACCACCUUCAAACAUCUGAUUCUGAAUUAAAUUUUCAGACCACUGAUUCUGAUGUUGAUUCACUUUAUGAUAUUAAUGAAAAUAUUGAAGAGGAGUGAUUUUGACAAAGAGUUGCUUUAAGUUAGGAAGUCUAACAUUGAAAAACAAGCAAAAGAAAAGGCUGAUAGGGUAAAUCUAGAUGAGAUACCAUCUGAACUAGUAGGUAUAAAUGCUGGUUUUGAGGAAAUUUGUAAGAACAAGGGGGUUAGAUAUGAAAGUAAACUGGGUAGGGAUGACCCUUAUUUUGGUAGUUUAAAUUCGAAUAGUAACAUUAGUGAAGAGGAAGGAGAUCAUGUUGAUGAUGAUGAACUGGUAGAUCCACUACCUAGAACUUCAUCUAGCAAGAUCUACUUUGAUGAAACUGCAAAGAAGAUAUAUUUUUAGUUGUACAUGAUUUUUUGAAUGCUGUUGAAUUUAGAGAGGUACUGCAGACUUUAUUCAAAAAAAUGUGAACCUUAAAUUAAAACCUAAUAAAAAGAAAAGAGUAAAGGCAAAGUGUAAGCAUAAGGAUUGUUCUUGGGUUAUUCUUGAAAGUGUUGAUAACACAAAAAAUUUUAGUGUGAAAACAUACUUUCUUAUCCACAAAUGUUCUAAAAAGACAAAAAAUGAGAUGUGAGUGAUUCAUCAAUAAAAUUGCAUCAGAUUCAAACACUUUUAAGAAAGGACUAUGGAUUGUAUGUUAGUAAAACAACCCGUAGAAAAUCAAAAAUUAAAAUUAUGAAUGAAUAUUUUGAUGAUUUUGUUGAAGAGUUUGCUAGGUUGUAUGACUAUGCUGAAUAGUUAGGAUCACCAAUCCUGAUACCACUGUAUCUACUAGAACAUCCAAGAAUUCAAUUCCAAGGUGGUUAUAGGCAUUUAUAUUUGUCUUGGGGCCUUAAAAAGUGGAUGAAAAGAGGGUUCUAGAAGAAUAAUUGAUUUAGAUGGUGCCUUUCUCGAGGGUGUAUAUAAAGGUAUCUUGUUGUCUUGUAUUUUCAAAGAUAAAAAUAAUCACAUGCAUCCUGUAGCAUGGGCAGUGGUUGAUAAAGAAACCAAGGACAUAUGGUCUUGAUUUCUUAGGUACAUCAACCAUAAUUUGAAACUUCGAGAAAAUGGGGGUAAAGGCUUGACAUUAAUAUCUGAUAUGCAGAAGGUAUGAAGUGUCAUAUUUUUUUUAGUUAUUUUUUCAAUUUGCUUAGUGAUGUCAUGAAUGUUUAACUACUGUUUUACAUGUUUUGAUAGGGUCUUCAUUUGGCACUUACUAAGCUACUGUCAAAUGCUGAGCAUAGAUGUGCUAGACAUAUAUGGGCAGACUGAAAGCAGGUUUGGAGAGGUGAAAAAAGAAGGAAAAAAUUCUAGCAGGUUGCAAGGGCUCGAUUUAAAGUGUAUUUACAACAAAAAACUUAAUAAAAUGAGUGAGUUAGAUGUUGAAAUUGUGAAAUACUUGCUCAAAUACAACAAAGAGGCAUGGUGUAGGAUUUUUUUUUAAAGAAUAUAGCAGGUGUGAUGUGGUUGAGAACAACAUGUAUGAAACUUUCAAUAGUUAAAUUUUAGCUGCUAGGUUCAAAACAAUUAUCACUAUGUUGGAGAAAAUAAAAUGCAAAGUCAUGGAAAGAAUGAAUCAAAUGAGAAAUUUUUAGAAAAAUGAAUCAGUGAUGUAUCACCAAUGGAUAUGAAAGUUCUUGUAGAGAAUAAUAUGCAAUCAAGUGUGAGGUAAGGUUUAAUGGUGAUAUAGGCUUUGAGAUUGGUGAUCCACCAUAAACACAUGUUGUUAAUGUGAAGAGGAAGGAAUGUAGUUGUAGGUCAUGGCAACUAAAGAAAAUUCCUUGUGCACAUGCAAUUGUUUCAAUGCAUUACAAGGGAUAGAAUGUGGAGUCAUUUGAUAAGCACUGGUAUCAAUGAAAAACAUACUUGAAGGCAUAUGAUAAGUAUAUUCAACCAAUGACAAAUAUAAAGAUGUAGCUAAGAAGCACAAGACCACUAAUUGAGUCACCUGAGAUUACUGCCAUGCCACGAAGGUCAAGUAAAAAUAGAAAGAAAGCUAAGGAUGAGUCUAUUAAGAAAAAGUUUAGGAAGGCUACAAAAAAAGAAAGAAAAAUGACAUGUUUUGUGUGCAAGUCUAUUGGAGACAACAAGAAAGGAUGUCCAAUUUUGGUAACCUAAAACUUUUCUUAUUGAUGAAUUUUACUCUUUUUGAAUGUGUUUUUGAUCUUUAAAUAUUUUUUUGUAGAAAAAAGAUUUCAGUAGUAGCUGUGGCAGUCAACCAAGUGUGCAAGCUGGUGCUAGUACUGUUGCUGCUGAGAGACCUGCAAAUGCUUCAGCAGCUGAAGACAUGCCUGCAAAUGCUAAACCAAGAAACAGAAGGCCUGCAGGAAGGCCAACAAAUGCUCACCGUGUACCAAGAGCUGCAGAAAGGCCUGCAAAUGUUGCAUCAGUUGGUGGUGUGAGGCCUGCAAGUGCCUUAACAACUGAUAUAAGGCCUGCAACUGUUGUGAUUCCUGCAACCACUUCACCAGUAGAUGAUAAUACUACACAAUCUACAACUCAGUAGUCUACUAGUGGUGUUGGUGUCCAAAAGAGGAGGACUAGUACAACUUUGAGAGGUGGUGCAAAUCUUGCAUAUAAAAGAUCAAGGCAAAACAAAAUUAAUUUUGUUGUGCUGUUUGGACUAAGUGGCAACGUAGUGGAGAGGGUAAAUUUUCUAUCAUGUAAUUUUCAUUUAACUGGUAUUAAUUAGUGUAUCUAUAACUGAUUUUUUUUAUUUUUACAGUUUGAAAAUACUGAUAGAGUGUUACAUAAUCCAACACUUAUUAGUUCAGUUCCAAUCAAUAUUGACUUGGGUUUCAAACCAAAUAGACUGAGGCGGAAAGGUGGAGCUGCAGUAACUCAAAGACAACUACAAGAACAGAGUUACAACAGAUAAAACACAAAAUCAUCUACAACCACUCAAGCCACAUCAAGCACUCAAGCCAGCAAGAAUCAGGCCACAACAAGCACUCAAGGAACACAUUAGUGUAAUUCUCUUUUUGUAUUGAUCCCAAGUGUUGUUAAGAUAAUUUUUUAAGACUUCUGAUGCAUUUCUCAUUAAAGAUGUUGUUAAGACAAGUUUUUUCAUUUCAACUCUUGCUAACACAUUAUAUAUUGAAGAUUUCUAAGUUGGCAAAAUGGUGUUUGUCAUUAAAUUUGAAUUUCAUUUUCAUUGUACAUUGCAACUACAAAAAUUAAGUCAUCUUAAAUAUAAUAGAUAGAAAUCAGAUGACAACAAUAAUAAUAGUGAUAUCAAUGCUAGUGCUUGAUCUUUCAUGUCUUUCAUACCUUUCAUAUCUUUCCAGUCCUUCUUGUCUUCGUUGCCUUCUAUGUCUGCCUUUAUAUUAUUUAUUUUCAUCAGCACAUCAAAAGAAUCCACAAUCAUUAGCAACUUCAUAUUUUUGACAGCUCCAAAAUAUUUUUUCGGGGUUGAUUGGUAUUCUUGAAUCUUAAUUUCAGCGUAAAGCCCACAAUAACAUACCCGAACUGUCAUGGUGUUGUGAAAAAUUACAUAAGAUAUUAACAUUCCAAUAUUACAAACAGAACAGGAAAAAAAAUUAAGAAACAAGAACUUAGAGAGAGAAAAAUGGAGAAGAAGGGAGAAAAAAAAGCUCAAAUUGCUUCAAUAAUGAUGUUGGAAGCAUAUGAGGAAGAAGUAGCAUUUAUAAGGACUUUAUGACUGUUGGGGGACUUUUUUCGAUGGCUUACGUGCGCUUGAAGGCUAAACUAUUUGCUCCUAUGUGAUUCCAGCCACAUUGGAUGCCACAUCAAAAAAAAGUAUUUAAAAUGUUCAUUUUUAGUGGGUUCAAGGAUUCAGAUGAUAAACAUGUAAGUAGAAGUGUCUACAUUACAAAACAGACAUAGUACAAGGGUCCAUUGAAUUAUUUUGCCUUUUAUAUUUCAAUCUUUCUUUCUCACUUAUAUUUUUAGCUCUUAUCUUAAGGGGUGUUUAGCCAUAAAAGUUUUAAUAUUUUUAGAAAGAUCAUGUAAGAGUAAAAAAUAAUAUUUAAAAAUUAAAAUUGUGUUUUGAUCAUAAAUAUAAAUUGGAGGCGUUUUUGAAUUACUUUUCAAAUUUCAAUUUUUUGAAAAGUAUUAUCACAAGAUCAUAUACAAAAAAAUUGAUUUUCACUAAGAGAGUUAAAAAAAUUGUAUUGCUUGAGAUUUGAAUUUAGAAUUUAAAGUGAAUUUUGAAUUUUCUAAACUAUUGAUCCUACUCUAAUUUAUUGUUUAGGGUAUUGAAAAAAAAAAACUAUAUAGCUAGACAUUAAUUCUGCUAAUAUAUGCAGUAACGAGAUGAGCCUCGCCAUAGUACCAAAUUUAUAUGAAUUUAUUUAUGAUUAAUUAGGAGUUGUUAGAUUAAAAAAGUGAACAAAAAUGAAAGAGUUGAAAAAAAAAAGAGAAAUAUGAAAAAAAGAGUGGCUAGCCAAGAUUUUGUAGUUAUAUAGUUUUCUUUAAACAGUCUAUAGCAUCAAUGAUUUAGGAAAUUUAAAAUUCACUUUAAAGUUCUAUAUUUAAUCUCAAGUAUUUUUUUUUUUUUGAUUAUGAGUAGCAUCAAUGAUUUAGGAAAUUUAAAAUUCACUUUAAAGUUCUAUAUUUAAUCUCAAGUAUAUUUUUUUUUUGAACUCUUUUAGGAGUCGUUUGGUACACUGAAUGUGAUAAAUAAGAAUAUCUAAGGUGGGAUAUUUCAUAAGAUUAUUUUAUUCAUCUCUCUCCGUGGGACAGUAAUCUCAUUAUCUUAAUAUAAAUGGUGGAAUAAAAUAAUUUUGAAAUUAAGUAAUACCUUAUAUCAAAUAUGGGAUAAAGUUAAUUCUAAAUUUUAUCCCAAAAUUAUUUUUUAUCCCUUCUACCAAACGAUUCCUUAGUGAAAAUCCACAAUCUUUUCAUAUCUGGGUUUGUGAAAAUAUUUCAGAUAAAUUAAAAUUUAAAAAAUAGCAAAAAUUAUUUCUAAUCUAAGUUAUUCCUAAAAACUCAAAAACACUUGCAAUUCGUAUUUAUGAUCAGACAUAACUUUAAUUUUUAAAUAAUAUUUUUUACUUUUAAAUAAUUUUUAAAAAAUAUUUACACUUUUCAUGACUAAACACUCCUUAAAAUAAAAACUAAAAUUUGAGUGGGGAAGAUAGAAAUAUAAAAUAAGGAGGCAAUAUUCAAAAAAAAAAAAAACAGGAAACAGAAGGAAAUGUGAGGAAAUAUUGGGAGAGGAACAUUUGCUAAUACAAUGGACCCCACAAGAACAUAUGUCAAAAGCAAAAAGACCCUUACAUAACUAUUGUUGGGUGAGCCUCACCCAUUUUAUAAUUUUCCAUCACCGAAACUACAGAUCAUAUGCUACUGUCAUUUGCACUUUUUCCCUUGAAAUAAAUAAUAUUUUAUAAGUUUAUAAUCAUUUUAUAAUAAUAUUUCAUGAGUUAUGGUCCUCUCCUAUAAGGUAGUUGUCCCAGUAGAUAUAAUUUCAAUUGCGAAAACUCAAAAUUCGAUGGGCGAAUUGCAAUUAAAUGACCUAAUUUGUCAUGUCAUUUGAGGACAAAAUGUUUGCAUGGAUUGUUCUUGUUUUAAAGUGGUUUUCAAUUUUUGCAAUCAAAAUAAUAUAGUUGAAUUUGUUUAAGUGUUUUAAGGGCACGCGAGUUAGAUUGAUUAUAAAAAUGAAAUAACAAUGAAAUGAAUCACAGCAACAAGAUGUAAUGAAUACAAAGCAAGAAAAUAAUUAAAUUAGAUCCUAAAAUUGGGCCUAGGUGGCUUUGGUAUUCUCUGUCCGAAAGCUGAUGAAUUGAGAAACUGAGAGCCUUUUCUUAAGAAGAGAAAGUAUGUAUGAACAAGUGUGUCUUGUAAAAACUUUCAGAGCCUCGAAUGUUUGAUUCCUAAGUGUGUCACUGUCUUCCAGUUGAGCAGUAGCACUUUGGUUGUCGGGUUGGAAAGAUUAUCUUAUCAUCAUUACUAGUUACUGUUUCUGUAUCAAGAUUCUACCUUUCUGAAGUUAGACAGGCCAUGUUAGUAAGGCCGGUACCAAUGUCGAGUAUUAUAGGAUCCCUCCAAAAUUGGACAUCACUCCGAGCUCGGUCUUUUGGAAGGGUUCUUCUGGUGCUCCCCAAUAGUCCCUUCAUAGUCAGACGCAUGUAUCACAUCUUUCAUGUCUUUUUUUUUUGCAACAAAUGUGAAUAUUAACAUCAACAAAACAGUCAUAUAAAAAUAAUUUUUUUUUAAUUUGAGUCUCAUAUGUCAUGUAAUAGUUGUAUGAGGUCUUUAAUAUUUGACGAAAUACAUAUACAGGCCCUUGAAAUAUUUCACUUUUCCCGUUUAGACACCUAAAUUAAGAAAGGUACCUAUUGAACCCUUUACUCCUUCAGAAAUGGUUUCAAUUGAGCCCAAUUCUCCGAUGUGGCAGUUUGCGUGUACUCACAUCUGGGAGGCGCGUGAAAUGUCAUGGAACCAGCUUAUGUGGCACCCAACGGAUCUUUUAUCCUCUUUUUAUACCCAAUUUCUUAAAAAAAAAAAACCCUAAUUCCCACUUUCUUCCUCUUUUUAUACUCAAUUCUUAAUAUCCACCAUUUUUGUCUCCUAAAUUCUCCUUCUCCUCUUAAAUUUCUUUUCAGCCUUUUCUCUUGCUUCGCUUAAACUCUCCUACUCUUAUUAAUUUCUUCUUCUUACUCGUUUUUAGUAGUAAUAUCCAAUUCAUCUUUUUCAUUGUCUUCAUCUUCUUUAAUUCCAAAAGGAGUAUGUUUAUGUGGGGUGAAAGCUGAAAUUAAGACCUCGUGGACACAACUCAACACUAGUGGGAGAUUCUUUUACUGCAAAACUUCAAAGGUAUUCAUCUUUUGCUGCUUCAUUGGACGAAAUGCAAUUACUUCGAUUAGUGGAUGCAAUUUUUUAAUUUAAUUUUUUCUUUAAACCUGUAGGCGAGAGGUGGAUGCAAUUACUUUGAUUGGUAUGAUGAUGAAAUGCCCCCUCAAGCAAAGAGGGUGAUGUGGGGUUUAUUAAAAAAAUUCAAAUCAUUUGAAGAAGAGAGGAAUCGAUCAAGAAAAUUUAAAGUGAUAUGCGUUGGGGCGAUUGUGAUUUUGGCUACAUGGAAUUUCUUCAAGAAAUGUUCUUAGAUUUUGACAAAUAUUGGCUUAGGUUUCUUAUAUAUAGGACUGUUUUGAUUUGGAUAAUUCUGAAAUAUAUUAGUUGUAUUGGGACUGUUUUGCUUUGGCUUUCUUGUUGUAGUGGGAUUGUUGUGUAUGAAACAAUUAAGAAGGAAUGAAGAUAAGUUGUGAAAUGUUACUCUCUUACUAUGUUUUGAUUUUUCUUUACUUUUGUAAUUGGUUUAGUUAGAUUAUUGUACUCUAUUUUUUUAGAGUUCAAAUAAUUCAUUUAAAUGAUUCAAAGCUGUCAAAUGUUUAACACAAAAGGAACUACCAUUCAAUAAUUAUAUAAAGCACAAGUGCAACUGAUCGACAUUUUAAACACAAUAAUCUACCAUUCAACUGCUCAAAAUGAGCUCCAACCAUACAUCAAGUGUUCAUCCAAAACUAAUCUAAACAAACCACAAAAAAUAGUUCAGAAUCUUUAAAAAUCCCAACAAAAUACCAAAGUAGCCAUACAACUAAUAACCAAACUAUACAUUGUGCUAAAAACACAAUUAAUUCAACAACUUCAGAUUCCUCCUGGUGCACUAGAACUUUCAAGUUGGCUUCUUUUUUUACUGACUCAUACUCUGCAAUUGAGAAGUUGUGACGACAUUCUUUUCCUUCCACUUCAUUCCUCGAGGCUUAUAACCAAUAUCAAUAUUUGUUUGAGUUACAUCUUUGUAAACACCCAGAGUGACAACUGUUUCACUUCUAGUUCCAGGUUGUAUAAAAUGAAGUAAAAUUAGAUUUGUCAAAAGAUAAUUAAAAAUUACAUGAAUUGAAGUUGUAAUUCACACUUACAUUUAAUGUUUUACUGCAACUCAUUUGAUCAGUGUAGAUACCAAAUCCUACUGUCUUAGACCUCUUUUGUCCUACUGAUGAUGUUGAUGCUCCAAUGGUCAUUUUUUCCUUAAGUUGCUGAUCAGAUACACUUUCUUUUCCUCUACUUCUGCCAGUGCCUCUUCCAGAUCCUUUGCCUUUGCCAGCUCUCCUACCUUUGUCAGUAUCUCUACCUCUACCUCUACCUCUACCUCUUCCAGCUGGCUGCACUCUUAUAACUGCUGAGGUAUCAACACACAUAGAACUGCUGAAGCUUGGUUGCUGGCUGAAGCUUGGUGGCCUGCUAGAGCUUGGUGGCCUGCUAGAUCUUGGUGGCUAGAUGAAGCUUGGUGGUUAGCUAAAGAUUGGUGGCCUGCUAAAGCUUGGUGUCUUGCUAGAGCUUGGUGGCUGUCUGAAGCUUGGUGGCUGCUAGAGCUUGGUGGCAUGCUAGAGCUUGGUGGUUGGGUAGAGCUUGGUGGCCUGCUAGAGCUUGGUGUCCUACUAGAUCUUGGUGGUUGACUGAAGCUUGGUGGCCUGCUAGAGCUUAGUGGCUGGCUAAAGCUUGGUGGCCUGCUAGAACUUGCUGCGUGGCUAGAGCUUCCAGGUUGUCCCAUUCCAUCUUAACAAUAAAGGAUAUUAAAUAUAUAUUAUAAAUAUCAGAAUUUAAUUAUUGAAUUAAAAGAUAUGAGUGCAUUACCUGAGCUUUACAGAGAGUUCUGCUAUGACCAAUUUGAUGACAUUUGGAGCAAGAAAUUUUCAGUCCUUUCCAGGAUAGCUUCCCAUAUUUCUUCUUAGGCUCAUUCUUCCUUUUUUUCUAUUCUUUCCUGGUCUGCUAGGCAUUCGUCUAGGCUCAUGAGGAUCAAUCACUACACCACUUGUGUUAGGCUACAUUUCCAUAUUAGAUAUUGGCUGAAGAAAGUAGUCAUAAGCCUUCAAGAAUGUAUCUUUCUUAUACCACUCUUCCACAUAAAAUUCAGGCUCUAUACCUUUAUGCUGAUAAGCCAAUACAGCAUGUUGACAUAGUAUGCCUCUCAAUUUCCAGCUUCUGCAAGUGCAAGUCCUUGUCCUAAUAUUAACUAUAUGCCUAUAAGGACCAUCUAAAAUUCCAUACCCAAUCUGUCCAUUGAACCUCACUGUGCAAUUUCUAGCCAUAUCUUUAUUUUCUUCAAGUACUAGCAAAGCCAUAAGAGAGAUGUCUGAAAUGCAGGUAUUAACAAACUUCCUCAUUUCAACAUUUCUAUCCAUUAUCUUAUGUCUAAUCUCCUCUAACAUACAGAUUAUAGAUUUAUGUCUAACAGCUAAAAUUCAUGAAUUAAAAGUCUCACACAUAUUAUUCUCAACAAUGUCACAUUUAGAAUACUCCCUAAAAUAUGCCCUGCACCAUGAUUUUUUUCAUAAUGUAAUAAGUCCUCACAAAUAUCCUUACCAAGUUGACUGAGUUUGCCCAUCUCAUCCAAAAACUUCACUUCAAAACUGGAUUUAGCACACCUCUAAAAUUAUUUUCUUCUUUCUUCUCCUCUCCAGAUCUGAUGUCAAUUGGACCAGAUGUAUCUUGCACACCACCUCAUUUCACAAUCUGGUAACAACUCAAGUAUAGUAGGUACAAGACCUUACAUCAGUAUAAAUACAAAAUAAAAACACAAAAUAUAUGAACAUGGAAUGUAUAGUAAAUAAAUAGAAGACAUCAAAAUUAAAUUUUAAAAAGUAGACUAACCUUUUGCAUAUCUGACAUGACAGACAGAUCAUGUUCAAUGCCUAAGUUCAAAUCUUGAAUCAAGUGGUUAAUGAAGAAACUCCAGCUAUUUUGUCUUUUGAUCAACCACUGCUCAGGCUAUUGGAUACAUUUGAUUAUUUCCAUUUCUCCCAACUGCAACUAACAAUUCACCCUUGCAAGAACCUUUCAAAAAACAACCAUCUAACCCAAUAAUUUUUCUGCACCCUGCCAGCCAGCCUCUCUUUAAUGCAUCAAAGCACAAAUAAAAAUAAAUAAAUAGAUUUUUUCCAAGUUGAGACUCUCUAUCUAUCCUCACCCAACAAGAACUGUCAGGAUUAAUAUGUUUUAUCAUGUCUGCAUAGUCACACAACCUUGAAAAUUCCAUCUUCCAAUCACCCAAGAAUUCUUUAAUGAUUCUAUGCUUUGCCUUGCUACAAAUAGUUUUUUCCACAUACAAACCCAAUUUUUUUCUCACCAAUUCCUGAAUUUCCCACAGUUUUAUAUAAGGUUGUAAAGUUAUUUCAUCUUUGAACUUACUUACAAUAAAUUUAGAUGUGCACAAUUUAUUUUUAUAGUAGUAGUGCAUACAUGUACAGGAUAGUAGUGCUUGACAACAGAGUCACCAGAAUGCUUAUCAAUACUAGCAAACAACAACCAUUUACAUUUCUUGCCCUUACACCUAACUCUAACUCUAUGUUUCUCAUUAGGCUUAAGCUUCAAUCUAACUUUGUAUUCAACAGCAUACUCAACCACAACCUUUCUAAAUUGCUUAGCAUUUUCAAAUAUCAUACCAAGCUCAAAUAUAGCCACAACACAAUCAGAAUCAAAUCUUACUUUUUUUACUUUUCCUUUUUGCUGAUAAAUCAACACCCCUGACAGUUUCAGGUUCCAGUCCAUCAGCACUAUCAUCACUAUCAACUUCAAAGCUAUCUAUAUACUUAUCAUCUCCCCCUAAUCUUCUACUGUAUCUAGCAGUCUUAUUCCUUCCAAUAUCUUCAAAUCCCCUAUCAACACCUGCUGAUCCAAGUUUUAUUUUUUCAUUUUGGACAGAUUUCUUUUGUUUCACACAGUUUCUCCUUUCAUUUCUAAGAGUUCUUAACUCUUCAUCAUCCUCAGAAUCGUCAUCUUCUGGUAUAUUAAACUCUUGAGAAUCAACACUACUAUCAAGAUCUAUUUCAGCCCCUUCUAGAUCUGAGAGUUCAUCUGCACCAGAUUCUAUAUCUAUGUUGUCAGUUUGGGUAGGUUCCUCAUGUAACCCUUCAACAUUAAUAUCAUGAACUGUUGAUAUGUUCUUACCCACAUUACUAUUUUCACCAACCACAUUACUACUUUGAUCACCUACUGUACCACAAAGAAAACCAGAUGGGACCUCAUCUUCUACCACUUCUACCUCAUCCACAACAUGGUUCAUAUACAAGUCUAAAAAGUCCCCAUCUUCUAGGUCUUCAACAAGACUUACCAAAGUCAAGUCAUUUUCUACUUCAAUAAAGACUUUCUUUUUAGGGUCUUUAAAGUAGAACCCACCAACAGUCAUAUACCCAAAUUCUUUAGUAUAAUAAAACAACUUGAAUAUAGAAAAGUGGUCUUUGUUCGUACUUACAUAUUCCACCUCACUUUCUCCUAUGUAGUGUGGACCAUAUUCUUCAUCAGAAACAAACUUGCCACCAUGGUGAAAAUGAGUUGUAAUAAUAAUAUUAGCCAUUAGAUUCCUGAAACAAAAUUCCAAAAAUACCUGACAAGUUAUGAAUAGUAAAAACCCUAAAAAAAUCCUAGCUUUUUUCGGAUAUUCCCAAACUACAAUUACUAACGUAAUAUACUAACAAAGAACUAAUAAAUCAUUUACAACAACAAGACAUGACAAAAAUGUGACAAUAUUGACAUUUGCAACAUACCUGAGUGCGAUUCAAACACAAAACAAUAACAAUUUUUUAGAUCCAACUCCAGAUUCUUUGCAACCAAUAAAGAAAUGUUGAAAUCAGUGUCAAACUUGAACUAAUCACUCAAAAACACUAUGUAACUUUUUAUUAUACAACAAACGAAGCAUAAAUUAGUAGUAUUAGGAGUGAAAUCGCAAUUUUAGGGUUUCUGAUAGAUUUAGGGAUGUGUAUGAGGGAUUUGACGUUAUAAGGAGGGAAACGAAGUAGAAAUUAUCUUUAUGUAUUAAUUAAAAAAAAGGUGGGGUGUAAAAUAUAAUUGGUUAUAAUUGGUCAAAAUCUACACGUAGACGAUGACUACAUACACGCACUUAACACGUUAAAAAAGAAGGCUUUAAAAAGGUGUCAUGUCGGACAAUUGAGCUCAGUUGAAACCAUUUAUGAAGGGGUAAAGGGUUCAAUAGGUAUCCGUCUUAGUUGAGGUGUCUAUACGGAAAAAGUGAAAUAGUUAAGGAAUCUCUCUAUAUAUAUAGCCUUAAUAUUUUGACAAAUUAACCUUUUGGGUCCCACCUUUCGGAGAAUUCUUUCUUAUUUUUUCCUCUUCAUUUUCUUUUCUGUCUCAUUGUCAUUUAACUUUUUUUUCUUCAACAAAUAAUGUUUUGUGCUUUUGCUCUUUCUUUUUGGGUUAUUUUUUACUUAUGGUUUUCUUUAUUUUUCUUCAUUUACCCUAUUUCUUUCCAAUUUUUUUUAGUACUCUUGAUACAAGUAAAUUGAAGGUUUUUCUUUUUCCUUUAAUUUUUUAUUUGUCAAUAUUUAUAUGCAAAUUAAAUGAUACUUACUUUUUUAUUUAUUUUUUUAGUUUAUUUUAAAAAUAUUAUUUCUUUGAUUUUUAGAUAGUAAGGUAAUAUUGUUUCCAUUAGUUAGUGUCUAGUUAGAUUUUGUAAUUAUUUUAAUCCGAAAUAUAAUUUUUGAUAUAUAUUUAAUGAUGUGACAGUUCCUAAAUUUCCAAGAAAAGUUAUUUUAAAAAUUAAAAUCAAUAGUUAGAUUUAUUUAGGACCAACUCAUUCUAAAUUCAAUUCAAUUCUUGAAAGACCGCCUGGAAAUAAUUUUUCUAUAUAGAAAAUUAUCUUAAUGAUUAAAAAAAAAGAUGAUUGCUCUUCCAUUUUUAACAUGCUAAGUAUUAUACAUGUCCUAAUAACAUUGAACCAUGAUAAAUAAUAUUAUAUAAAUUCAAUUAUAAAAAACAGAUUUAUCACUUAUCAAAUUUAAUUUUAAAUUUUCGAUAUUCAAAUUUUUCAACACCAACAAAAAGAGAGUAUAAUAAAAAAUAGAAAUUAUUGUCAUGAUUGAAUGGCCAAAAUUUUAUUUUCUUUUUUUUAACAAAUAUGAACAAAUAAUAGUUGGGAUGAAAAAAAAGAUUCAUUCUACUUAGUACCGAAACAGGAGGAAGAAAAAUCAAUUUGUGAAAAAAGACAAAGAAAGAAUAAAAAACAGUAAACAAAAAAGUAACCAAAAAAAAAGAGCAAAUAAUGUUUUGCCCCAAAAAAGUUAAUGAUCGAAAAAGUAAAAUAAAUAAAUGAAUAUAGAAAAUGAUCUGAUAGUGGGACCCCAAAGUCCAUUUGUCAAAAAAUUAAAGACCUCAUAUUAAAAUUUUACAUAUACAAACUAAAAGCAUCUCGUCUCAUCUCCCACUUCUAGAAGGUUGUACUACUAAUUAGGCCUCCAGGAAACAGAGAAGUGUGGUACAAAAAUUAAUUCGUCUGUCUGCUCUCUUUCUAUCCCUAUAAAAUUCAAUUCUCUCAAUAAUUUCGCAUGUGAUUUGCCCCACUGUGUCUGUACAUAGUAUGUCCUCCUACUUUGCAUCCUUGGAUGAAUACUGGACCUUUAAAUUGAAUCCAGUUCCUUGCUUUCCAGAUGUAAUACACCAUAGUCCCCCAUAAUGCAGCUGCCGCUUCCUUCUUAAACUUCUUCCAAUGCUCUCUUCUAAUCAGCUCAAAUGUAGUCUUCACAUCUCCUGCGGACAGUGAAAUAUUGGAUUAUUAUAUGAGUUCAGCUCUUACCAGUGCAGCAUAUAUAGCCACAGUCAACAAAUAUGUGGCUACUACGCUCUCCAUUGUAGAUGAUUGAAAUAGGCGGCAGUUGACAUUUUCUAUGUACAUGUUCAUAUGUAGUAAUCUUUCCUUCGUAAGCAAUCUGUUCAGCAAGGUAACCACUAGUAAUUGAAUACUUUAGCAGUAAGGAUGAAUUGCCCCCAUGCAUCAGUGUUUCAUUCUAUCCCUUAUAAAAUUUAUUUUCCUCCAACACCAGCUACUUGUUAUUUUCGUUUGUACUUUGGGUACACAGAAUCAGUAUAUGCAGAACAAUAACUUCAACUAGAGUUCAAGUAUAAACAAGAACACAAUGAAGUAUAUCAAAUACUCUCUAACACAAGAUCGAAAUGACCUUUUCAAGAGGUGUAUUUUAUUUUUUCAGAAAUUAAGAUGAAACAGAAAAUAGCCAAGUCAUCCGAAUUCACGAAGUUUCUUUAAGGAAAUAAUUUCCCUCACUGUACCCGAGGUUAUAGAAUUUUUCCUCCUAGAAUAAAAUGGCUAAAUAGAUCAAUUGUAGCGGUACCUCAAACGGUUGGAAUAUCUUCGAACGCACAGGACGUUUUGAUUGAUCACAUAGAGUAAUUUGGAAGACAAGAAGUAAUUUUGUAUUCUGAAAUUUUCAUAUCAAAACCUGUGGAUGAAAGCAGGUUUAUAUAGCCAUAACAUGUCUCUUCUGAAAAUAGGCAAUGGUUCACUCCAAAGGUUACACCUUUGCUGUAAGUUCAUGUCUGUUCAUCAAAGAUUGCAUCUUUUCCUGAAUAGUCAUCUCAUUUCAUGAAUCAGUGUGUCACUUCAUUGAAGGAUUACAUCCUUCUGAAGCAUCAUUUCGAACCAUUGCAACUCAGUUUAAAACAAUAUAUCAUUUCUGAAGCACCAGUUCAAAAACAAUGCAUCAGUUCACUUGAAACAGUGCAACUGUUACUGCAUCUAUAUAUAAAUGGAGAUCCUAAACACUGCAGAAAAAUUUUACUGCGUUUUUCCUUGGCAUUCUUCGGAAUUCAAAUAAAGUUUGUCCAAAAAAAUAGAUCUCAUCGAUCAAUCAUUAUCCAAAUCCAAAGCCAAGCGAGCAACGAUGAAAAUGGCGCAAGACAUCUAUUAUUUCUUGCCUCACUUGCCAUGUGGAAUAAAUGUUCUUGAUUAUAAAUACUUUCAAGUACUCUUCUUCCACCAAUGUGGGAGAAAGAGUAAAUUAUCUAAUUUGGAAGUACACUUUUCAUUUUAGUGUCUCCUUCCCCUCCAUCAUUUUACUCUCCAUUUUUUCAUUCACACUUCUUUCAUAUACUAUGAACCCAACACUACUAUCUGCUGGCUUCUGUGUCCAGAUAGUGUCAGUUUUGAUACAUAUUUCGGGUGCCUACUUCAGCCCCAAAGACUCCUUCUUUACAACUACUUUCCACAAAACCUUGCCUACCGAUGCCAAGUUCCAAUUCUCACACAAUAUUCAAACCACCCUGCUUUUUGGAGACACUUUAUCCCAAGCUACUAGUGCUACCUUCCUUUUCCCUCUAUAAUACCCCACAAGUAAUCUCUAAAUGUCUUAUCUACCUCCUUCACUAUACUAGGGGGAAGGAGAAAAACUGCAUUUUAUUCAUCCAUCUGUCAAGACCGGUUUUACCCCAUACUACCAAAGCGGCCAGCAAAAUUUUGACCAUACUGCUUUGAGCAAAUCUUCCUGAGCAAAAUAAAUGGUCUGAAAUUUCCACUUUCUUAGAGUGGGGCAAGCAAUACAAGAAUCUUGAUUGGAAGAUUAUAUCAAAAUUUUGAGACCUUUUCAUCAGUUGGUACCCUGUCGUAUGAAGCUCCCCACCUUACAAAUGUCAUCUUGAAAAAUAUUAUUGUUUAUGCCACAUUUUUUGGGCACUUACUUGAUUGUUCUUUCUUCUAAAUUAGGAGCUCCCAUGCUGAGGCUAGUGAGAACCUGCCAUUGAUGUUAGCCAACCCUAGUACUCUAUCUGGAGCUGCAUGGAAUAAGGUAAUGUGGUGUUGUGCUACCAUGCCAUAUUGCCAAGUGACAUUGUCAAGUGCCUCCUUAAGAAGGGAUAUUUCCGGCUUUUGCUCCAUCAGGUAAAUGACUAUAGAGCAUUCCCGUUUUUGUUCAGUUGUCAUACCAGAAUGAUGUUUUUACCUUUCCAGGCAGGCAUGCUAUAUUUUCCUUAACUUCAUGCUUUAAGUCACAGAGGGCUCUCCAGCCGUGUGACUGUUGCCCUGAUAAUUUUCAUGGAUCGUACAUGUGAAAUAUUUGGUUUGGGUGGAAAUGAAUUGACUCUCAUCUAAGAGAAAACACACUGCUAGUUAAUUAUAUUAUGUCGCAGCAUUAAUGGAGACACUCUUUAGAUGCCCGGUCCCCUUGCCAGCCACUAGAACUUGGGAGGGCAAUUUCUGUUGAUCCUUGACAAGCCAAAACAAUUUCCAAAUUAAUCAUUUAAAAAAAAAAAACAUUACAGAGCCAAGAAGCCAUCAUCUAACACAAGAUCUAGCAACACUUAGUAUAGAAAAUUCACAAUCUUUCAUUGAUAUAAACAAUUGAAAGAGCAAUUACACGAGAACAUCAAAUUAGACAUUAGAGUCAAUGAGUUCUCCAUUCACUAACUCUCUGUAAGCAGCAACAGGCCAGAUGAAGCCUCUCCAGACGAGCCUGUUAGCCAAUGGAACAUCAAUGAUGAUCUCCUUCAUUGUUGGCUUCUUCUCAUCUCUUAUUGCAAUCAAGUAGCUCCUUCCUACCCACCCAAUCCAUCCAGCAAUGUACAAGAAGAGGAUCCCAGGAGUGAUGAACUCACCCCAGUGCCUCUGGUCUCCACUCACUAUCAGGUGUGGCAGUCCAUCCGAUCCGCACAACAGUCCUUGUUUCGCAUAGUUGUCAAAUCUGCAAUGUCAAUAGGUGAGUGACUUUGUAAGUGAAAUAAAACAUGGACUCGAGUAUCAAGGAGUUGGAAUCAAAUGGAAUGUUCUAUUUUUCUAUGUUUACUUAGUCUAUGUCAAUGACUUAUGCAAGGAAAAGUUGAAAAUCUGUUACAAAAUAACUUGCCAUUCUUUCAUAAGCAAAUUUACUUCGUGCGCUCCUAUAGGGAGAAGGUGUUGAAGGUGGCCUCGUUUUCACACUUUUGGUUGGAUAAACGGAAGCCAUCAUCUAACACAAGAUCUAGCAACACUUAGUAUAGAAAAUUCACAAUCUUUCAUUGAUAUAAACAAUUGAAAGAGCAAUUACACGAGAACAUCAAAUUAGACAUUAGAGUCAAUGAGUUCUCCAUUCACUAACUCUCUGUAAGCAGCAACAGGCCAGAUGAAGCCUCUCCAGACGAGCCUGUUAGCCAAUGGAACAUCAAUGAUGAUCUCCUUCAUUGUUGGCUUCUUCUCAUCUCUUAUUGCAAUCAAGUAGCUCCUUCCUACCCACCCAAUCCAUCCAGCAAUGUACAAGAAGAGGAUCCCAGGAGUGAUGAACUCACCCCAGUGCCUCUGGUCUCCACUCACUAUCAGGUGUGGCAGUCCAUCCGAUCCGCACAACAGUCCUUGUUUCGCAUAGUUGUCAAAUCUGCAAUGUCAAUAGGUGAGUGACUUUGUAAGUGAAAUAAAACAUGGACUCGAGUAUCAAGGAGUUGGAAUCAAAUGGAAUGUUCUAUUUUUCUAUGUUUACUUAGUCUAUGUCAAUGACUUAUGCAAGGAAAAGUUGAAAAUCUGUUACAAAAUAACUUGCCAUUCUUUCAUAAGCAAAUUUACUUCGUGCGCUCCUAUAGGGAGAAGGUGUUGAAGGUGGCCUCGUUUUCACACUUUUGGUUGGAUAAACGGAGGACUAAACGAGUUUUUAUGAGCAUUAUCGGGUUCUAGAAUAUAUAUCAAAAAGGAAUUCUACAUUUUUAUAUUUCGGAGCUUUUUAAUUUUAAGCUUCUUAUCUUACUCGUAUGCUAUCAUAACUAUAAAAAUGUAAUGUCUGAGAUCACAAUUCUAAGAAUACUGAUAAGUGAGACUUGAGCACCUCCACCAAACCGGUAAGUGGGAUCACUGUUAUUCUCACCAAAAGAAGAAUCUAAGAAUACUAGUCUUUAAAGAAGAAAAAUUUGUACACAAUCAAAUACAUCCACAUAAAGUGUAAGAAUAUGAUUAAAUAGAAAAUGAUUACUAAGGACAAAGCAAGGAAAAUUUAGCAUAUAAGAAAGAAGGGAACUUUCAAGAUUCUUGCAAAAUUUAAAAGAAAAGGUAACAAAGACAAACCUGCGCUUAGUUUUCUCAAUAGUGGCAUUAAUAGCAAGUGCAGGAGCACUAUCAGGUGCAUACAGUUUCAAAGAAUUCUCAAGCUUCUUGAUCUGUUGCUUCUCCCUCUUAGCAAACUGCUUUGACUCCUUGCAAGGUGUGAGCCCAGAGAUGUCAGCAGAAGCUGGAAGCACUGGUGCUGACAAAAGAAUUGAAGACAAAGCAAGUGCUGCUGAGAAUGCUUUUAAUGAGGAAGAACUCUCAUCUGUCUUAGUAGAAGCAGGGGUCUGGUUUGAAGAGCAUACUAUGGUUGAAGUU
Molecule: long non-coding RNA, 21663 nt
Filed under: Capsicum annuum
Lineage: Eukaryota; Viridiplantae; Streptophyta; Magnoliopsida; Solanales; Solanaceae
Description: long non-coding RNA (CANN_LNC003247)
Source: RNAcentral